GACGAACGCUGGCGGCGUGCCUAAUACAUGCAAGUAGAACGCUGAAGCUUGGUGCUUGCACCGAGCGGAUGAGUUGCGAACGGGUGAGUAACGCGUAGGUAACCUGCCUGGUAGCGGGGGAUAACUAUUGGAAACGAUAGCUAAUACCGCAUAAGAGUAGAUGUUGCAUGACAUUUGCUUAAAAGGUGCAAUUGCAUCACUACCAGAUGGACCUGCGUUGUAUUAGCUAGUUGGUGAGGUAACGGCUCACCAAGGCAACGAUACAUAGCCGACCUGAGAGGGUGAUCGGCCACACUGGGACUGAGACACGGCCCAGACUCCUACGGGAGGCAGCAGUAGGGAAUCUUCGGCAAGGGACGGAAGUCUGACCGAGCAACGCCGCGGGAGUGAAGAAGGGUUUCGGAUCGUAAAGCUCUGUUGUAAGAGAAGAACGAGUGUGAGAGUGGAAAGUUCACACUGUGACGGUAUCUUACCAGAAAGGGACGGCUAACUACGUG
Molecule: ribosomal RNA, 497 nt
Filed under: uncultured bacterium
Lineage: Bacteria
Description: partial 16S ribosomal RNA
Rfam family: Bacterial small subunit ribosomal RNA
Source: RNAcentral